UUUUCCCCCUUUUCUAUAUUUUCUCACAUUUUGUGGGAAUUUAGAUAAUAUGAAUUUCUUACCACACAUAAUUUCAAUAAUUUACAUGUCAUUUAGGAACUUGAAUAACUGUAAUAAUGGCUUGUAAACUAUUAAAAUUUCACAAAAAAAUCUAAUUCUUUUUGGACAUUGAUCCAAAUUCCUAAAAUUAUUCUUUCCUUUGAUAAAUUAUUUAUGACUCUAUAAUGUUUCAGCAAGAAGAGUACAUCUUUAAAUCACUGUCACCAUUAGGAAAUGUGUAAAAUUUGUGAAGAACAAAAUAAGUCUGACAAAUAAAAACAUUUCUUCUAUUUCAUAUCAUUCACAUUGGUCUGAUUUAAAUCUUACUUAAAGGAAACAAUUUCAUCGUGCAGUUCUGCUAAAACUCAAUAAAUUCAGGAAGAAUUUCUCAAUUUAUCAAAACCACUUAGUAAAUAUAAUAAUGGAAAUAUUGAGAAUGUAUCCUCAAAAUUCCAACCAUUAAAAAGC
RNAcentral lists this long non-coding RNA (507 nucleotides) under Bos taurus (domestic cattle). RNAcentral's name for it is "long non-coding RNA NONBTAT026710". The record is from RNAcentral. Lineage: Eukaryota; Metazoa; Chordata; Mammalia; Artiodactyla; Bovidae.